CCCUUAGGCCUGGGAUAGCUAGCCGAAAGGUUAGGUAAUACCAGAUGAAAUGACUUGAUCGCAUGAUCGAGUUCUCAAAGCAGCAAUGCACCUUUGGAGCGGGCGAUUUCGUAUCAGCUUGUUGGUGAGGUAACGGCUCACCAAGGCGAUGACGCGUAGCCGGACUGAGAGGUUGGCCGGCCACAUUGGGACUGAGACACUGCCCAG
This 207-nucleotide ribosomal RNA is filed under the name uncultured bacterium. RNAcentral's name for it is "partial 16S ribosomal RNA". It matches the Rfam family "Bacterial small subunit ribosomal RNA", at positions 129 to 334 of the family's 1533-position model. The record is from RNAcentral.